RNAcentral lists this ribosomal RNA (948 nucleotides) under uncultured bacterium. Its description in RNAcentral is "bacterial SSU rRNA". It matches the Rfam family "Bacterial small subunit ribosomal RNA", at positions 26 to 941 of the family's 1533-position model. The record is from RNAcentral.
AGGACGAACGCUGGCGGCGUGCUUAACACAUGCAAGUCGAACGAGAGGACAUGGGAAGCUUGCUUCCUAUGAAAUCGAGUGGCAAACGGGUGAGUAACGCGUAAACAACCUGCCCUUCGGAUGGGGAUAACAGCCGGAAACGGCUGCUAAUACCGAAUACGAUCUUUUCGUCGCAUGACGAAAAGAAGAAAGGAUGGCCUCUAUACAAAGCUAUCGCCGAAGGAGGGGUUUGCGUCUGAUUAGCUGGUUGGAGGGGUAACGGCCCAACAAGGCGAUGAUCAGUAGCCGGUCUGAGAGGAUGAACGGCCACAUUGGGACUGAGACACGGCCCAGACUCCUACGGGAGGCAGCAGUGGGGAAUCUUCCGCAAUGGACGAAAGUCUGACGGAGCAACGCCGCGUGAGUGAAGAAGGUUUUCGGAUCGUAAAACUCUGUUGUAAGAGAAGAACAAAUUGUAGAGUAACUGCUACAGUCUUGACGGUAUCUUACCAGAAAGCCACGGCUAACUACGUGCCAGCAGCCGCGGUAAUACGUAGGUGGCAAGCGUUGUCCGGAUUUAUUGGGCGUAAAGGGGGCGCAGGCUGCUUCUUAAGUCUGAUGUGAAAGCCCACGGCUUAACCGUGGAAGUGCAUUGGAAACUGGGAAGCUUGAGUACAGAAGAGGAAAGUGGAACUCCAUGUGUAGCGGUGGAAUGCGUAGAUAUAUGGAAGAAUACCAGUGGCGAAAGCGACUUUCUGGUCUGUCACUGACGCUGAGGCCCGAAAGCGUGGGUAGCAAACAGGAUUAGAUACCCUGGUAGUCCACGCCGUAAACGAUGAGCGCUAGGUGUUGGAGGGUUUCCACCCUUCAGUGCCGCAGCUAACGCAUUAAGCGCUCCGCCUGGGGAGUACGACCGCAAGGUUGAAACUCAAGGAAUUUGACGGGGACCCGCACAAGCGGUGGAGCAUG